RNAcentral lists this ribosomal RNA (510 nucleotides) under uncultured Saccharomyces. RNAcentral's name for it is "eukaryotic LSU rRNA". It matches the Rfam family "Eukaryotic large subunit ribosomal RNA", at positions 64 to 578 of the family's 3401-position model. The record is from RNAcentral. Lineage: Eukaryota; Fungi; Ascomycota; Saccharomycetes; Saccharomycetales; Saccharomycetaceae.
ACCAACCGGGAUUGCCUUAGUAACGGCGAGUGAAGCGGCAAAAGCUCAAAUUUGAAAUCUGGUACCUUCGGUGCCCGAGUUGUAAUUUGGAGAGGGCAACUUUGGGGCCGUUCCUUGUCUAUGUUCCUUGGAACAGGACGUCAUAGAGGGUGAGAAUUCCGUGUGGCGAGGAGUGCGGUUCUUUGUAAAGUGUCUUCGAAGAGUCGAGUUGUUUGGGAAUGCAGCUCUAAGUGGGUGGUAAAUUCCAUCUAAAGCUAAAUAUUGGCGAGAGACCGAUAGCGAACAAGUACAGUGAUGGAAAGAUGAAAAGAACUUUGAAAAGAGAGUGAAAAAGUACGUGAAAUUGUUGAAAGGGAAGGGCAUUUGAUCAGACAUGGUGUUUGUGCCCUCUGCUCCUUGUGGGUAGGGGAAUCUCGCAUUUCACUGGGCCAGCAUCAGUUUUGGUGGCAGGAUAAAUCCAUAGGAAUGUAGCUUGCCUCGGUAAGUAUUAUAGCCUGUGGGAAUACUGCC